Marasmius tenuissimus is the source of this 92-nucleotide non-coding RNA. Lineage: Eukaryota; Fungi; Basidiomycota; Agaricomycetes; Agaricales; Marasmiaceae. The record is from the annotation of a GenBank genome assembly.
UCCGAUGUGGUGUAGUGGCUAACAUUGCUGUCUUUCAUAUUAUCGUUCCAGUUGAUUCACAGCAGCCCGGGGUUCGAUUCUCCGCAUCGGAA